GCCCAUUGUGGGCCAAGGGAUCCUCUGCCUGGCAUCGCUGGGUGUUUUAGCUGUUUAAGGCUCUUGCCUCAGGCUCCAAGAUGACUGCAGAAAUGGUGGUGAAGAUGAGCUCUUCAGGCAGAGUGAGAGUCUUGGUUUUAUAUUUGCCUCCCGGAUCUAAUUCUCAGCACUGAACCUGCUUAAGAGGAAGUACAACACCCAACUCUGCUACUGCUAAUGAAAAAGCAAGCUAAAAAGUCAAGUCAACAUUACUCAGUGUCUUUGCACUAGAUUAAGAAUCUGCAUUUUUCUUCUGAGAGCCUGACAGUCCUGGGAAAUAAAGACCCAGCACCAUGUAGCAAGGAGUUGGUUGUGAAAGCUUUUGUGUCCUCUUGCCUAUCUAUAAAUGUGCCUUCAAUUCUGACCUACUUUACUGGGUGGUACCUCAGGUAGUUCUUUGUCUUUUGGAGGUUUCUGUGUGUAAAUGACUGUGUAAAACUUACAUACAA
Molecule: long non-coding RNA, 488 nt
Organism: Pogoniulus pusillus (Red-fronted tinkerbird)
Lineage: Eukaryota; Metazoa; Chordata; Aves; Piciformes; Lybiidae
Exons: 3
Source: RefSeq, a predicted model, not a curated record